RNAcentral lists this transfer RNA (64 nucleotides) under Thrips setosus. Its description in RNAcentral is "tRNA-Leu". The record is from RNAcentral. Lineage: Eukaryota; Metazoa; Arthropoda; Insecta; Thysanoptera; Thripidae.
ACUUUUGUAGUAUAUAUAAUACAUUGAUAUUAAAAAUCAUUAAAGAGAUUACUCUCCUAAAGUA